CCUACGGGGGGCUGCAGUGGGGAAUUUUCCGCAAUGGGCGAAAGCCUGACGGAGCAAUACCGCGUGAGGGAGGAAGGCUCUUGGGUUGUAAACCUCUUUUCUUAGGGAAGAAUUUAAUGACGGUACCUGAGGAAUAAGCAUCGGCUAACUCCGUGCCAGCAGCCGCGGUAAUACGGAGGAUGCAAGCGUUAUCCGGAAUGAUUGGGCGUAAAGCGUCCGCAGGUGGCUGUGUAAGUCUGCUGUUAAAGAAUCUGGCUCAACCAGAUAAAGGCAGU
This 275-nucleotide ribosomal RNA is filed under the name uncultured bacterium. RNAcentral describes it as "partial 16S ribosomal RNA". It matches the Rfam family "Bacterial small subunit ribosomal RNA", at positions 338 to 627 of the family's 1533-position model. The record is from RNAcentral.